GAGAACUGAAAGUCGGGUAUACCCAUGACAGCCGUUCCCAGGGCACAUUUCAGUUCUGUGGGCUGCAGGCUCACACACCCCGAAGGUAGUGGUAAUUACUUCGUAGUUCAUUAGGUUUUCCUUGUGUAGGGUGUUGAAGGAACGAGGGAAUAAGGUAGCUGACUUUGAAAUGAGAUGGGGGAUGGAAAUUCCAGGUGAAUUUAAAGCACCUGGCAAGCAGGCAUCUCUUCUCAGUGUUUCCUUGUUUUUGCCCCAGACUGGGAAGCCAUCACCUUCCUGGCUCUUUCAGAGAAUUUCUGUGUGGUCUUGGUCUGACUCAAUUAACCUCUCCCCUUCUGCAUUUCAUCAUGUGGAUAUGGGUAUAGGAUCAACUUCAAAGAGGUCCAGGGCCUAAUUAAUGUCUCUAGGGUGCCUGAAGAUUCUUGGAUGGAAAAAAAGAAAACCACCACCUGUAUGCAGAAUCGGAGACUGCAUGACAGCAGGUGGAAAUUAUUACUAUUAAAUGUGACUCCGUCUCAGAAUAUUUGGCAAACUCCUCCUCUGGGCCCUGAGAAAUGUCGAGUUGAGGCUAGCAAGUCCAAAUCUUCAGGGUGGCCCAGCAGGCUGGAGACCCAGGACAGCCAACGUUCCAGUUUGAGUCCAAAGGCCGUCUGCUGGAGAACCAAGAAGAGCUGAUGUCACAGAUGAAGUCCUAGGCCAUCUGCUGAAGAAUUGCCUCUUGCCUGGAGGAGAUAUAUUGCACGUGAAAGGCCAUAGUCUCCUGAAGGAAACUGGAGACACUGGAACUGAUCUGUGGAGAUCCCGCAAUGGGCAGACUGUGGGAAACAUGCCGGAACCCUGAAACAAACCUGAACUUGAAAAAGCUUGAACUCCAUGAAGAUAGGAAUUAUGUGUGAUUCAUUUUUAUCCACAGUGUGUAGCAAUGCCUGGCAACACACACUCAAGAAAGCCCUGUCC
RNAcentral lists this long non-coding RNA (957 nucleotides) under Equus caballus (horse). RNAcentral describes it as "lncRNA (ENSECAG00000057631.1)". The record is from RNAcentral. Lineage: Eukaryota; Metazoa; Chordata; Mammalia; Perissodactyla; Equidae.